AGAGUUUGAUCCUGGCUCAGGAUGAACGCUGGCGGCGUGCUUAACACAUGCAAGUCGAACGGAGGUGUACGCUGAAGAAGCUUCGGCAGAUUCUUGUGCACCUUAGUGGCGGACGGGUGAGUAACGCGUGGGUAACCUGCCCUGUACAGGGGGAUAACACUUAGAAAUAGGUGCUAAGACCGCAUAAGCGCACAGUACCGCAUGGUACAGUGUGAAAAGCUCCGGUGGUACAGGAUGGACCCGCGUCUGAUUAGCUGGUUGGAGGGGUAACGGCCCACCAAGGCGACGAUCAGUAGCCGGCCUGAGAGGGUGAACGGCCACAUUGGGACUGAGACACGGCCCAAACUCCUACGGGAGGCAGCAGUGGGGAAUAUUGCACAAUGGGGGAAACCCUGAUGCAGCGACGCCGCGUGAGUGAAGAAGUAUUUCGGUAUGUAAAGCUCUAUCAGCAGGGAAGAUGAUGACGGUACCUGAGUAAGAAGCCCCGGCUAACUACGUGCCAGCAGCCGCGGUAAUUC
Molecule: ribosomal RNA, 518 nt
Filed under: uncultured bacterium
Lineage: Bacteria
Description: bacterial SSU rRNA
Rfam family: Bacterial small subunit ribosomal RNA
Source: RNAcentral